UCUCCUGUAGCUCAGUCGUAGAGCGUCCGACCGGUGUGCGGAAGGUCGUAGGUUCGACUCCUGUUGGGGGAA
Molecule: transfer RNA, 72 nt
Filed under: Desmophyllum pertusum
Lineage: Eukaryota; Metazoa; Cnidaria; Anthozoa; Scleractinia; Caryophylliidae
Description: Lophelia pertusa tRNA
Rfam family: tRNA
About the family: Transfer RNA (tRNA) molecules are approximately 80 nucleotides in length. Their secondary structure includes four short double-helical elements and three loops (D, anti-codon, and T loops).
Source: Rfam by way of RNAcentral